Molecule: ribosomal RNA, 483 nt
Filed under: uncultured bacterium
Lineage: Bacteria
Description: partial 16S ribosomal RNA
Rfam family: Bacterial small subunit ribosomal RNA
Source: RNAcentral
UGGGGAAUAUUGCACAAUGGGCGCAAGCCUGAUGCAGCCAUGCCGCGUGUGUGAAGAAGGCCUUCGGGUUGUAAAGCACUUUCAGCGAGGAGGAAGGUGGUGAACUUAAUACGUUCAUCAAUUGACGUUACUCGCAGAAGAAGCACCGGCUAACUCCGUGCCAGCAGCCGCGGUAAUACGGAGGGUGCAAGCGUUAAUCGGAAUUACUGGGCGUAAAGCGCACGCAGGCGGUUUGUUAAGUCAGAUGUGAAAUCCCCGGGCUCAACCUGGGAACUGCAUUUGAAACUGGCAAGCUAGAGUCUCGUAGAGGGGGGUAGAAUUCCAGGUGUAGCGGUGAAAUGCGUAGAGAUCUGGAGGAAUACCGGUGGCGAAGGCGGCCCCCUGGACGAAGACUGACGCUCAGGUGCGAAAGCGUGGGGGCAGCAAACAGGAUUAGAUACCCUGGUAGUCCACGCUGUAAACGAUGUCGAUUUGGAGGUUGUG